AGGUUCUGACAAAUUUUUUUUUUUUUUGAGAGAGAUAGGCAUGCUACCCACUUCGUUUAUUUUAUUUACAAAUAAACUUAGCUGGAAAUGUGAAUCAUCGAGGAUUCGAACUUGGAAUCUCAGACACCAACCACCAAGCCCUUUGUUGAACUAGGUUCUGACAUAAAAAUGAAUAAAUAAAGUGUUUAAUUAGAUAAUAGUUAGUUAUUAAAUAAGUUUUAUGAAUAAAUAAAGUGUUUAAUUAGAUAGUAGUUAGUUAUUAAAUAAGUUCAUUAAUUAUUAAUUAGCAACAUUUUAUAA
Molecule: long non-coding RNA, 300 nt
Filed under: Ananas comosus (pineapple)
Lineage: Eukaryota; Viridiplantae; Streptophyta; Magnoliopsida; Poales; Bromeliaceae
Description: long non-coding RNA (ACOM_LNC005968)
Source: RNAcentral